Molecule: long non-coding RNA, 253 nt
Organism: Sinocyclocheilus grahami
Lineage: Eukaryota; Metazoa; Chordata; Actinopteri; Cypriniformes; Cyprinidae
Exons: 3
Source: RefSeq, a predicted model, not a curated record
GUCUGCUUCCUCCUGUUUGCAGUGCUGUACAUUGUGUCGUACUGCAUCAUCUCACGCUACAAGAGAAAAAGCGAUGAUCAGGAAGAUGAGGAUGCCAUUGUCAACAGAAUAUCGAUGUACCUGUGUACAUUCACACUGGCAGUGUCUGGAGGAGCUGUCCUUCUCUUACCAUUUUCUAUAAUCAGUUAUGAGAUUGUGCUCUCUCUACCAAAAAACUACUACAUACAGUGGCUCAAUGGAUCACUCAUUCAUG